GGGCCCGCGGCGCAUUAGCUGGUUGGUGGGGUAACGGCCUACCAAGGCGACGAUGCGUAGCCGACCUGAGAGGGUGACCGGCCACACUGGGACUGAGACACGGCCCAGACUCCUACGGGAGGCAGCAGUGGGGAAUAUUGCGCAAUGGGCGAAAGCCUGACGCAGCAACGCCGCGUGGAGGAUGAAGGCUUUCGGGUUGUAAACUCCUUUCAGCAGGGACGAAACUGACGGUACCUGCAGAAGAAGCCCCGGCUAACUACGUGCCAGCAGCCGCGGUGAGACGUAGGGGGCAAGCGUUGUCCGGAUUUAUUGGGCGUAAAGAGCUCGUAGGCGGCUUGGCAAGUCGGAUGUGAAAUCUCCAGGCUUAACCUGGAGUCGCCAUCCGAUACUGCUAUGGCUAGAGUCCGGUAGAGGAUCGUGGAAUUCCUGGUGUAGCGGUGAAAUGCGCAGAUAUCAGGAGGAACACCAACGGCGAAGGCAGCGAUCUGGGCCGGUACUGACGCUGAGGAGCGAAAGCGUGGGGAGCGAACAGGAUUAGAUACCCUGGUAGUCCACGCCCUAAACGUUGGGCACUAUGUGUGGGGCCUAUUU
This 591-nucleotide ribosomal RNA is filed under the name uncultured bacterium. RNAcentral describes it as "bacterial SSU rRNA". It matches the Rfam family "Bacterial small subunit ribosomal RNA", at positions 227 to 834 of the family's 1533-position model. The record is from RNAcentral.